RNAcentral lists this transfer-messenger RNA (362 nucleotides) under Rhodocyclaceae. RNAcentral's name for it is "Azonexus sp003583745 Standard tmRNA". It matches the Rfam family "transfer-messenger RNA". From Rfam's summary of the family: Bacterial tmRNA, also known as 10Sa RNA or SsrA, is named for its dual tRNA and mRNA-like properties. Its role is to liberate the mRNA from a stalled ribosome. To accomplish this part of the tmRNA is used as a reading frame that ends in a translation stop signal. The record is from RNAcentral. Lineage: Bacteria; Pseudomonadati; Pseudomonadota; Betaproteobacteria; Rhodocyclales. RNAcentral also lists the same sequence under 1 other name.
GGGGGCGACCUGGCUUCGACGUGGGUUGCGAAUCAGAACAGGGCAUACCGAGGGCCAGUCACCUCGUAAAUCCAUCUGGAAACUUUACAAACGCCAACGACGAUCAUUUCGCACUGGCCGCUUAAUGCGGCUGGCGCUGCGCCGGCACUCUGAUGGGCCGGACCAGGAAACUGGAUGCAGUGUCAUUUACAUCAGAUAAGGAUUGGUAGUGCCGUGACGCCAAUCUCGAAAAUCAAGCGGAUCGCCCGAAACGAGCCUGUUUGGCCGGCGCGUAAAGGCUAAAUUCAAUUGACCAAACUACGUAUGUAGAACUGUCUGUGUAGGGCUUGCGGACGGGGGUUCGAUCCCCCCCGCCUCCACCA